RNAcentral lists this ribosomal RNA (532 nucleotides) under Laevilacunaria antarctica. Its description in RNAcentral is "partial large subunit ribosomal RNA". It matches the Rfam family "Eukaryotic large subunit ribosomal RNA", at positions 750 to 1274 of the family's 3401-position model. The record is from RNAcentral. Lineage: Eukaryota; Metazoa; Mollusca; Gastropoda; Littorinimorpha; Littorinidae.
GGGGCGCAGCACCGGCCCGUCACGUCCGCGCUGACGGUGUGGCGGAGCAAGAGCGCGCACGUUGGGACCCGAAAGAUGGUGAACUAUGCCUGAGCAGGGCGAAGCCGGUGGAAACUCUGGUGGAGGCUCGCAGCGAUUCUGACGUGCAAAUCGAUCGUCAAACUUGGGUAUAGGGGCGAAAGACUAAUCGAACCAUCUAGUAGCUGGUUCCCUCCGAAGUUUCCCUCAGGAUAGCUGGCACUCGCUGAAAGCAGUUUUAUCCGGUAAAGCGAAUGACUAGAGGUAUUGGGGUCCUCUGAGUCGUCAACCUAUUCUCAAACUUUAAAUGGGUGAGAAGCGUCGCUCUCUGGCUUUGGAGCGGCGCAUAGAAUGCUGAGCGCCAAGUGGGCCAUUUUUGGUAAGCAGAACUGGUGCUGUGGGAUGAACCGAACGCCCGGUUAAGGUGCCUAACAUUGACGCUCAUGAGAACCCAUAAAAGGUGUUGGUUGGUACAGACAGCAGGACGGUGGCCAUGGAAGUCGGAACCCGCUAA